This 273-nucleotide long non-coding RNA is filed under the name Struthio camelus australis. RNAcentral describes it as "lncRNA (ENSSCUG00000005888.1)". The record is from RNAcentral. Lineage: Eukaryota; Metazoa; Chordata; Aves; Struthioniformes; Struthionidae.
AUGCACUGGACAACACACUGGAAAAUAUGGUCACGGAGAAGUUCACUGGAAUUCUUGGCAUACCCUACAAGAGGAUUGGAAUCAAUACUGAAAUAUUUCUUGAUCAGAACAGAAAAUGUCUCAACUGCAAAUGGAUGGGAAGCUGACUCUGAAUGCUGUAGCAUCUUGAAGACAUACGUUCUUGACCUUUACAGAGACAAUUUUAAAUUUGCAGAGAAGAGGGAUAGGCUGGGGCAGCUGCAGGAGGAGGCAACACAUACUUCUGGAGUUUAA